GGAAGCUUACUCACGCACGGAAAUAGCACAGCGAAUCGGAAGUAUACUCACGCACGGAAGGAGGUGGCUGCCGCUACUCGGAAGUCACCACAGCGAUUCGGAAGCCUAAAAAUCAUUCCCCCAAUUUCACGAGAGAGAGGAGGCCGGUGCUAGGGUUCCUGAUUUAGAUUCGCGAUGACCUGAGGCAGACGCACGGGCUCGCCUGCUCGCCAACAAGGAGGUCCUCCACCACAUCCAAUCGUUGAAUCCUUACCCAAAUUCGUGUGAGACAGAGGUGGCCGCCGCUAGAGCUCACGACGCGAAGUUGCGCCAACCUGAGGCGGACGCACGGGCUCGCCAGCUCGCCGACGAAGUCCUCCACCACAUCCCGGCAUAAGGAGGCUGCGAGGGCUCGCGAGCUCGCUGACGAAGAGGUCCGCUGCUACAUCCCAGCCUAAAGCGUCUGGUACAGCUCGUGAUUCAGAAUCACGACGGCCUGAGGCGACCGCGAGGCCUCGAGAGCUCACUGGCGAGGAGGUCCUCAUCGACGAGGAGGUCGAGAUCCUGAAGGGCUCCUCCAUAAGCAUCCUGAGUUCGUACACAAACAUCAUUGUCCCCUGCUACAACUACUAAUCCAGAAAUUGCUUAAAUGAGUUGUCAUGGAGGUUGUGAAAAGGAUGAGUUAUCCCCAGUAGCAGAUAUACUGGCUCAGGAUAUUCAUUAGCUUCCCAUGAGGAACUAAAGGAAGGAAGACAGAUAAGCCGUGCUGAGCUCUAUAGCAACACAUACAGAACAAAUGGGCAGCCAAUUGAUGACUAAAGCUUUGAAAAAAUACAGCUUGAUUAUUUGUCAGUCAUAAAACAGAUGAUGCUGGUGCUCGUUUAAUCAACUUGAUUCAGAGAUAUAUCAGCUCUGGGUUAUCUGAAUCAUGGACGCUUUCUCCCUCUACUUCUUUAUCUACAUCUUUUGUUGCACUACUUCCAUUUGCAUCAUUUAAGAUUGGGGACCUACACAAAAGGACUUGGGAAUAUCAUUUGAAGAUAGAUAUUUGAUUAUUUUUCUACCUUAUUGAUUGUGUUUGGUACAAAUAUAACUCUGUAUGCCAGAAAGAUUUAAAUGAUUGGAUUGUGCUGUUAAUAUCUGCUUUCA
Molecule: long non-coding RNA, 1128 nt
Organism: Sorghum bicolor (sorghum)
Lineage: Eukaryota; Viridiplantae; Streptophyta; Magnoliopsida; Poales; Poaceae
Exons: 4
Source: RefSeq, a predicted model, not a curated record